CAGAGUACGGAACAGUUACAAUCUUGGUCGCGAGGCGACGCCAACAUAACUCUCUGUCGCGGCCGGUGUCGUAUUUAAUCGAGACUAGCGUAAUUUAUGCGUUCCCUGCGCGACCCUUCGUCGUCAUCCAGCAUGAAAAUUGCCGUGGGGAACGAGUUUCGCGGUUUUUACGCGUUGACCGAAAUACGAUAAUUGAUACCUGGACCGAUUAGAACGACGACGGGGCCGUACCACGUCCGUGCUUAUCUGUAAAUAUCCCCCCGUGAAAACAAGAGAUUUGACGAUACCAAACCGCCUUCCGACACACAAAGAUAACAGAUGCGCGCAACCCGCUGCCGCUGCUGACGAGCACCCUGGACGAGACUGAUGGACACCUUUGUCCUGUGACGUCCCAUCAACCGUUAGAAGGCACUUUGCGUUAUAGUUCUUGGGAGUCGAGUAUAUACUCGAUGCAGUAAGGAAAUGGUGGUGGGUCAGGGUCUUAAUGACAGUGAGGGACUGAGGCGAAGGAAUAUAAAGAAAGACGAGCAGAAAUUCUUGGUCAGACGUGUAACCUCGUGUAAUCGAGUUGACCCCGUAGGACGAUUAACCAAAUUGGAAGGUCUCUUGGAUGACACUGAGUCAUGGUUUCUCCUUAAAGUUCACGAUCGUCGAGUUUCUUUGCUUCUGCUGAGAACACACGACCGCUUAAUAAAUAUCGCAUGCGACGGUUCGAGAUUCAUGAGGGCUUCCGCAGCCAUUGACGCAAAGGAGAAGGGGGGUAACAGGUUCACGGAUUUUAACAAGCUACGAACCACCCCAUGCAUAUUCAGCGCGAAGCCACGAUGCCAAGAUAACGAUAUCUUCGUGAUUCUUCAGCCACUUUUCAGACGAGCCACGGAAAAUUUCCAGAUAAUCGAUUCGAAGGAACAUGCGCCCGCGCAAUCGAAACCGUGGCUAUGAAGAAUACGGUUUUAUGAAGUUUCUAAAAUACACUGCUGGUCAAAAGUUUGGAAUUACUUGAUAUGUAAUAUCAAUGAAAAAUUAUAUAUCAUAAAUAUAUAAAAUAAAAUAACAAAAAUGUUAUAUCUUGUAUGUUCCUUUAUCAUAUACAAGAAUUCACCAAUAAAACUUUUGACCAACAGCAUAACUGGACGCGAAAAAGCUUCUCUUUAGCAAAUAUUCAUUUUAGCAAUAAUAAUAUAUCACUGUAAAGUUUACGCGAGUAUAAAUAUUCGAAAUAUUGUUUAUAAAAAUAUACGUUUCCAAUUUGAUUUUGUUGUUUAGUGAAUAACUAAAAAAUUAGUACUUUUUGAAAUUCAUCUUUUAAAGUUAAACUUCACCUCAAAUUUAGAUGACAUUCAAACAUUAUUUUUGUAAUUCUUACGUCAGUUUCUAAUUGCGAAUAUUUAAAUAAAUUUAUAUGUCUGAAAAUAUAUUUACAAUUAGAAGAAUUAAAGUUACUUAGAAAUACAAUCUUUUUGUCAUGGAUUUUAUAAAAAUGUAUGUAUAAUAUACACAUUUAAUCACAUUUUUCGAAAAUGAUCUAAUGGAUUGAUUAAUCCAAAUAGAUUACAUGAUUAUACUUGAAAAAAUAGUAGUAAGUUUUGUAUUUCCUACAUACGUGUACUUCAAAAUAAAUUAGGUGUAUUAAAUUGCUGACCUUUCAAAACAGAAGAAAUUAUAUUUGAAACACUUUUUUAAAUAACGAAUAGUUCCGAGGAUAAUUGCAUUUAUGAAUUAAAAUGGAACUAUCUUUCGUAACAAAAUUAAUUUUCUUACAUUAUUAUUUAUAGAUAAAUUGCAAAUAUUAAACUAUCUAUUCGGCUAAAAGUAAAGCAAAAUUAGUAUUACAUUUUAUU
Nomia melanderi (Alkali bee) is the source of this 1841-nucleotide long non-coding RNA. RefSeq lists it as uncharacterized. NCBI's taxonomy places the organism in Eukaryota, Metazoa, Arthropoda, Insecta, Hymenoptera, Halictidae. The record is from RefSeq and is a predicted model, not a curated record.